Molecule: non-coding RNA, 46 nt
Organism: Ophiophagus hannah (king cobra)
Lineage: Eukaryota; Metazoa; Chordata; Lepidosauria; Squamata; Elapidae
Source: Rfam
CAACAGGCCAUUCUUAUGGCCACACUUUUUUUAAUGGAUUUAUUCU